GAUGAACGCUGGCGGCGUGCCUAAUACAUGCAAGUCGAGCGAACGGACGAGGAGCUUGCUCCUCUGACGUUAGCGGCGGACGGGUGAGUAACACGUGGAUAACCUACCUAUAAGACUGGGAUAACUUCGGGAAACCGGAGCUAAUACCGGAUAAUAUAUUGAACCGCAUGGUUCAAUAGUGAAAGACGGUUUUGCUGUCACUUAUAGAUGGAUCCGCGCCGCAUUAGCUAGUUGGUAAGGUAACGGCUUACCAAGGCAACGAUGCGUAGCCGACCUGAGAGGGUGAUCGGCCACACUGGAACGGAGACACGGUCCAGACUACUACGGGAGGCAGCAGUAGGGAAUCUUCCGCAAUGGGCGAAAGCCUGACGGAGCAACGCCGCGUGAGUGAUGAAGGUCUUCGGAUCGUAAAACUCUGUUAUUAGGGAAGAACAAAUGUGUAAGUAACUAUGCACGUCUUGACGGUACCUAAUCAGAAAGCCACGGCUAACUACGUG
This 497-nucleotide ribosomal RNA is filed under the name uncultured bacterium. Its description in RNAcentral is "partial 16S ribosomal RNA". It matches the Rfam family "Bacterial small subunit ribosomal RNA", at positions 28 to 507 of the family's 1533-position model. The record is from RNAcentral.